Molecule: unclassified non-coding RNA, 944 nt
Filed under: Hevea brasiliensis (rubber tree)
Lineage: Eukaryota; Viridiplantae; Streptophyta; Magnoliopsida; Malpighiales; Euphorbiaceae
Source: RNAcentral
GUUUGCCCAGUGCAUUGACCACAAUUAGUCAGAACUAUGAUUACGAUACUGUAAAUAUUUAAGACAUCAAGAACCCAUGAUAAUGUCAUCCACUAUUCCCUUACAAUGAGCCAUGUGAGCAUUGUGGUGGCUACUGAGGAAAGGAAAUUAAGAAAUGAACCUCAAUGAAAGAUCAAACCCUGCUACUUCCUCGGCGAUUACGAGCAUAUGAUCUAGGUACCGGCCCUUUAUCCUGAAAUGAUCGUCUCUCUGCAUAUUGUUUUUGUUUUUUCAAAAAAAGAAUUUGAGCCUGUUUCUUCUUCUCUUCAGCUUUCAUUUUUGUCAGGCUUGGACGGUAGAGAAUCACAGUCCUACCAAUUUGACCAACAACCACUGAGCCAGUUGCUUCUUCCAAAUGCUUUACAACAUCAUCCAGCUCUCCUCCGGGACAGGUACCAUGUAUUUUGAGCUUGAGAAGCUCAUUAGCUUCAAGAGUCUCCUCUAAAGCCAUGACCACAGUAUCAGUAACACCAGAUUUGCCAACCUGUUGGCUCUUUAGCUUCUUCCCUAAACUAUGUGCAUAGGAUGCCAAUUCUUUCUUCUCUUUCACAGUCAGAUUCGGCAAUUUCGCCCUUAAUAUUUUUCUCUCAGACUCACUACGCCUGGGGGCAGUCACUUCUUCAUUUUGUUUUACAAUUUCCUCAUCUUCCACAUCCUCAGAAGAUUCCAAGAGAGAUUGAGAGGUACAGCUAAUUGGAAGGUUAGAGAAAGUUCUAGAACGAAGGAAGAUUGAUGUAUGGGUCCGAAGAGAGGGGAAGGAGGAAAGAGAAUUGUUGAUGAUGGGAUGAAGUGACGUCGUCUGAUGGGGAAGAAGAGAGAGAGAUUGCUUAAGGAAGGAGAAAGAAAGGAUGGGAGCGGGUCGGAGCAGGCGAUGGAGAGCCAUGGAGGAAGAGGAAGAAGAUAAC